This 425-nucleotide ribosomal RNA is filed under the name uncultured bacterium. Its description in RNAcentral is "bacterial SSU rRNA". It matches the Rfam family "Bacterial small subunit ribosomal RNA", at positions 354 to 796 of the family's 1533-position model. The record is from RNAcentral.
GUGGGGAAUAUUGGACAAUGGGCGCAAGCCUGAUCCAGCAAUGCCGCGUGGGUGAAGAAGGUCUUCGGAUCGUAAAGCCCUUUCGACAGGGACGAUGAUGACGGUACCUGUAGAAGAAGCCCCGGCUAACUUCGUGCCAGCAGCCGCGGUAAUACGAAGGGGGCUAGCGUUACUCGGAAUUACUGGGCGUAAAGGGCGCGUAGGCGGCUCUGUUAGUCAGGCGUGAAAUUCCUGGGCUUAACCUGGGGACUGCGCUUGAUACUGCAGGGCUUGAGGCCGAGAGAGGGUGGUGGAAUUCCCAGUGUAGAGGUGAAAUUCGUAGAUAUUGGGAAGAACACCGGUGGCGAAGGCGACCACCUGGCUCGGUUCUGACGCUGAGGCGCGACAGCGUGGGGAGCAAACAGGAUUAGAAACCCUGGUAGUCC